This 491-nucleotide ribosomal RNA is filed under the name uncultured bacterium. RNAcentral describes it as "partial 16S ribosomal RNA". It matches the Rfam family "Bacterial small subunit ribosomal RNA", at positions 29 to 507 of the family's 1533-position model. The record is from RNAcentral.
AGUGAACGCUGGCGGUAGACCUAACACAUGCAAGUCGAACGGCAGCACAGUAAGAGCUUGCUCUUACGGUGGCGAGGGGCGGACGGGGGAGGAAAACAUUGGAAUCCUCUUUUUUGGUGGGGGUAACGGAGGGAAAACUACCCUAAAUACCCCUUCGACCUUCGGGGUGAAAGCAGGGGACCUUCGACCUUGGGCGGUUGGAUUAGCCGAUGUCGGAUUAGCUAGUUGGCGGGGUAAAGGCCCACCAAGGCGACGAUCCGUAGCUGGUCUGAGAGGAUGAUCAGCCACACUGGAACUGAGACACGGUCCAGACUCCUACGGGAGGCAGCAGUGGGGAAUAUUGGACAAUGGGCGCAAGCCUGAUCCAGCCAUACCGCGUGGGUGAAGAAGGCCUUCGGGUUGUAAAGCCCUUUUGUUGGGAAAGAAAAGCAGCAGGUUAAUACCCCGCUGUUCUGACGGUACCCAAAGAAUAAGCACCGGCUAACUUCGUG